UUUUUUCUGCGUGGUGCGUCACCGCUUGACGAUGAUUGAGCCAACGCCGUGAGUAAGGGAGACCGACGCCGCACUUGCCAGUGCAUUCUCUCAGAGUUAGAGAAUUGCCAGAGGCUGCGGCUCUUCAAAGGUCACCCACCUGUUUAGUGCAGGUUCAAUUACGGCUGCGGAGCGGCCUCGCGGAUGCCCU
This 190-nucleotide non-coding RNA is filed under the name Acidobacteriota bacterium. RNAcentral's name for it is "6S RNA". It matches the Rfam family "6S / SsrS RNA". From Rfam's summary of the family: E. coli 6S RNA was the first non coding RNA to be sequenced, but its function was unknown until recently. The record is from RNAcentral. Lineage: Bacteria; Pseudomonadati; Acidobacteriota.